Molecule: non-coding RNA, 173 nt
Organism: Mitsuokella multacida DSM 20544
Lineage: Bacteria; Bacillati; Bacillota; Negativicutes; Selenomonadales; Selenomonadaceae
Source: Rfam
ACAAGCCUGGGAUGUGCGUGAGCUUUAGAAGUGUCUAACCUACAUUUUUCCUAGGGAGCUUGAUUUGAUUCCGGCAGAUGCCCGCCUCGGCGACUGCAGAAACCGGACUUAAGGCACCCACCUGCUAGCCGCAGGUUUUAGGCAUUUAAAGCGAACGGCACCCUGGACCCCUG